Molecule: ribosomal RNA, 446 nt
Filed under: uncultured bacterium
Lineage: Bacteria
Description: partial 16S ribosomal RNA
Rfam family: Bacterial small subunit ribosomal RNA
Source: RNAcentral
CCUACGGGAGGCUGCAGUCGAGAAUCAUUCACAAUGGGGGAAACCCUGAUGGUGCGACGCCGCGUGGGGGAAUGAAGGUCUUCGGAUUGUAAACCCCUGUCAUGUGGGAGCAAAUUAAAAAGAUAGUACCACAAGAGGAAGAGACGGCUAACUCUGUGCCAGCAGCCGCGGUAAUACGGAGGUCUCAAGCGUUGUUCGGAAUCACUGGGCGUAAAGCGUGCGUAGGCUGUUUCGUAAGUCGUGUGUGAAAUGCGCGGGCUCAACCCGCGGACGGCACAUGAUACUGCGAGACUAGAGUAAGGGAGGGGGAACCGGAAUUCUCGGUGUAGCAGUGAAAUGCGUAGAUAUCGAGAGGAACACUCGUGGCGAAGGCGAGUUCCUGGACAUUAACUGACGCUGAGGCACGAAGGCCAGGGGAGCGAAAGGGAUUAGAUACCCCUGUAGUC